RNAcentral lists this ribosomal RNA (405 nucleotides) under uncultured bacterium. Its description in RNAcentral is "partial 16S ribosomal RNA". It matches the Rfam family "Bacterial small subunit ribosomal RNA", at positions 28 to 526 of the family's 1533-position model. The record is from RNAcentral.
GACGAACGCUGGCGGCGUGCUUAACACAUGCAAGUCGAGCGGAGCGGCGAACGGGUGAGUAACGCGUGAAUAACUGCCCCCCUCUCUGGGAUAACAGUUGGAAAAGGCUGCUAAUACCGGUUAGUGGGGGAUGGGUCGCGUCCUAUGAGCUUGUUGGUGGUGUAGUGGCCUACCACGGCGACGCCGGGCAGCCGGCAUGCGAGGGCGACCGGCCACAGACGGCUGGGUGACGGCCCAAACCGCUACGGGGGGCAGCAGUGGAGAAUAUAGCGCAAUUGGGGCAGCGCGGUUGCAGCAGCGUCGCGUGCGGGAUGACGGUCUUCGGGUUGGAAACCGCGUUCAGCCAUGACUCGGUAGUGGCAGAAGAAGCACCGGCUAACUACGUGCCAGCCGCCGCGGUAAUGC